GACAGAGUAGGUAAAGCACGUUAAGUGUUAAAGGAUGGGAAGUUGCCUUUAAACGAAAGGUUCACAUUUUGUGAAUCUGCGAUACUUUACCGCAUCCGCUGUU
RNAcentral lists this non-coding RNA (103 nucleotides) under Proteiniborus sp. DW1. RNAcentral describes it as "THF (Tetrahydrofolate) riboswitch aptamer". It matches the Rfam family "THF (Tetrahydrofolate) riboswitch aptamer". From Rfam's summary of the family: THF riboswitch presents a pseudoknot that joins P1-P2 and the loop of P3 and two THF binding. RNAcentral also lists the same sequence under 1 other name. The record is from Rfam by way of RNAcentral. Lineage: Bacteria; Bacillati; Bacillota; Clostridia; Eubacteriales.